Molecule: ribosomal RNA, 480 nt
Filed under: uncultured bacterium
Lineage: Bacteria
Description: bacterial SSU rRNA
Rfam family: Bacterial small subunit ribosomal RNA
Source: RNAcentral
GAUGAACGCUGGCGGCGUGCUUAACACAUGCAAGUCGAACGAAGCACCUUGAUUUCUUCGGAAUGAUUGGUGACUGAGUGGCGGACGGGUGAGUAACGCGUGGGUAACCUGCCUCACACAGGGGGAUAACAGUUAGAAAUGACUGCUAAUACCGCAUAAGACCACAGCACCGCAUGGUGCAGUGGUAAAAACUCCGGUGGUGUGAGAUGGACCCGCGUCUGAUUAGCUAGUUGGUGGGGUAACGGCCCACCAAGGCGACGAUCAGUAGCCGACCUGAGAGGGUGACCGGCCACAUUGGGACUGAGACACGGCCCAAACUCCUACGGGAGGCAGCAGUGGGGAAUAUUGCACAAUGGGCGAAAGCCUGAUGCAGCGACGCCGCGUGAAGGAUGAAGUAUUUCGGUAUGUAAACUUCUAUCAGCAGGGAGAAAAUGACGGUACCUGACUAAGAAGCCCCGGNUAACUACGUGCCAGCAGCCG